AACGGAUCUCUUGGUUCUGGCAUCGAUGAAGAACGCAGCGAAAUGCGAUAAGUAGUGUGAAUUGCAGAAUUCAGUGAAUCAUCGAAUCUUUGAACGCACAUUGCGCCCUUUGGUAUUCCAAAGGGCAUGCCUGUUCGAGCGUC
This 143-nucleotide ribosomal RNA is filed under the name fungal sp. M-Lv. RNAcentral describes it as "5.8S ribosomal RNA". It matches the Rfam family "5.8S ribosomal RNA". From Rfam's summary of the family: 5.8S ribosomal RNA (5.8S rRNA) is a component of the large subunit of the eukaryotic ribosome. It is transcribed by RNA polymerase I as part of the 45S precursor that also contains 18S and 28S rRNA. Functionally, it is thought that 5.8S rRNA may be involved in ribosome translocation. Lineage: Eukaryota; Fungi. The record is from RNAcentral.